CACAGAGUCGGGAUAACACCUGGAAACAGAUGCUAAUACCGGAUAACAACAGAUGAUGCCUAUCAACUGUUUAAAAGAUGGUUCUGCUAUCACUCUUGGAUGGACCUGCGGUGCAUUAGCUAGUUGGUAGGGUAACGGCCUACCAAGGCGAUGAUGCAUAGCCGAGUUGAGAGACUGAUCGGCCACAUUGGGACUGAGACACGGCCCAAACUCCUACGGGAGGCAGCAGU
This 230-nucleotide ribosomal RNA is filed under the name uncultured Lactobacillus sp. Its description in RNAcentral is "partial 16S ribosomal RNA". It matches the Rfam family "Bacterial small subunit ribosomal RNA", at positions 130 to 355 of the family's 1533-position model. Lineage: Bacteria; Bacillati; Bacillota; Bacilli; Lactobacillales; Lactobacillaceae. The record is from RNAcentral.